This 237-nucleotide ribosomal RNA is filed under the name uncultured bacterium. Its description in RNAcentral is "partial 16S ribosomal RNA". It matches the Rfam family "Bacterial small subunit ribosomal RNA", at positions 540 to 776 of the family's 1533-position model. The record is from RNAcentral.
GUUGUUCGGAAUUACUGGGCGUAAAGGGUUUGUAGGUGGCCACUUAAGUCAGACGUGAAAUCCCUCAGCUUAACUGGGGAACUGCGUCUGAUACUGAGUGGCUUGAGUGCAGGAGAGGAACGCGGAAUUCCAGGUGUAGCGGUGAAAUGCGUAGAUAUCAGGAGGAACACCGAUGGCGAAGGCAGGUCUCUGGGCCACUACUGACGCUGAGGUGCGAAAGCGUGGGGAGCAAACAGG